This is a small nuclear RNA of Rattus norvegicus (Norway rat), 107 nucleotides long. The record is from Ensembl. NCBI's taxonomy places the organism in Eukaryota, Metazoa, Chordata, Mammalia, Rodentia, Muridae.
GUGCUCGCUUCGCCAGCAACAUAUAUAAAAUUGGAACGAUACAGAGAAGAUUAGCAUGGCCCCUGCGCAAGGAUGAAUGACCGAAUGAACAAGAGGAGCAAACAUGG